AAAUCCCACAAGAGACAUUGACUGCACAAUAUUGUUCUUUGACAUAAUUACUGUCGUAGCUAAAAAAUCGCUGCCGUAAGCCUAUUGCGAUGGCUGCAACGGCAAUGAUUAGACAAUUGCUGCUGUAGGCCUGUCAUAGACCAUUUUUGUAGUCAUGAGAGGAAAAACAAUUAGGUUGCCUUUUUGAGCAAUGGUGCUUUGAUCACAUGCAUAGAGGAAGAAAAAAAAAUAAUGGUCUCAGCGGCAUCCUUCUUAUCAAAAGGAAUAAUGGGAAGGUGAGGAGAAAUUUACCAAAGGGUGGUGG
Molecule: long non-coding RNA, 304 nt
Filed under: Elaeis guineensis (African oil palm)
Lineage: Eukaryota; Viridiplantae; Streptophyta; Magnoliopsida; Arecales; Arecaceae
Description: long non-coding RNA (EGUI_LNC070998)
Source: RNAcentral